GGCGCGGUGGCGCAGUGGUUUGCACUGUUGCUUCACGAUUAGGAGGUUCUGGGUUAGAACCCAGGCCAGCCA
This is a non-coding RNA of Gymnothorax javanicus (giant moray), 72 nucleotides long. NCBI's taxonomy places the organism in Eukaryota, Metazoa, Chordata, Actinopteri, Anguilliformes, Muraenidae. The record is from the annotation of a GenBank genome assembly.